This 230-nucleotide long non-coding RNA is filed under the name Mytilus galloprovincialis (Mediterranean mussel). Lineage: Eukaryota; Metazoa; Mollusca; Bivalvia; Mytilida; Mytilidae. The record is from RNAcentral.
CGAAAAACAAAUAUGUAACACAUAAACAAACGACAACCACUGAAUUACAGGCUCCUGACUUGGGACAGGCACAUACAUAAAUUAUGUGGCGGGGUUAAACAUGUUAGCGGGAUACCAACCCUCCCCCUAACCUGGGACAGUGGUAUAACAGUACAACAUAAGAACGAACUAUAAAAAUCAGUUGAAAAAGGCUUAACUCAUCAGAUGGACUAAAAUACAAGUGGACGUGG